UACGUAGGGGGCUAGCGUUGUCCGGAAUCAUUGGGCGUAAAGCGCGUGUAGGCGGUCCGGUAAGUCCGCUGUGAAAGUCGAGGGCUCAACCCUCGAAUGCCGGUGGAUACUGUCGGGCUUGAGUACGGGAGAGGCGAGUGGAAUUCCUGGUGUAGCGGUGAAAUGCGCAGAUAUCAGGAGGAACACCAAUAGCGAAGGCAGCUCGCUGGGACGUUACUGACACUAAGGCGCGAAAGCGUGGGGAGCGAACAGG
This 253-nucleotide ribosomal RNA is filed under the name uncultured bacterium. RNAcentral's name for it is "partial 16S ribosomal RNA". It matches the Rfam family "Bacterial small subunit ribosomal RNA", at positions 524 to 776 of the family's 1533-position model. The record is from RNAcentral.